RNAcentral lists this ribosomal RNA (468 nucleotides) under uncultured bacterium. Its description in RNAcentral is "partial 16S ribosomal RNA". It matches the Rfam family "Bacterial small subunit ribosomal RNA", at positions 28 to 507 of the family's 1533-position model. The record is from RNAcentral.
GACGAACGCUGGCGGUGUGCUUAGCACAUGCAAGUCGAACGGUAAGGCCCUUUCGGGGGUACACGAGUGGCGAACGGGUGAGUAACACGUGAGUAACCUGCCCUCAUCUCUGGGAUAACAGUCGGAAACGGUUGCUAAUACUGGAUAUGAGCUUGCAAGGCAUCUUGUGGGUUGGAAAGAUUUUUUUUGGUUGGGGAUGGACUCGCGGCCUAUCAGCUUGUUGGUGAGGUAGUGGCUCACCAAGGCUUCGACGGGUAGCCGGCCUGAGAGGGCGACCGGCCACAUUGGGACUGAGAUACGGCCCAAACUCCUACGGGAGGCAGCAGUGGGGAAUAUUGCACAAUGGACGGAAGUCUGAUGCAGCAACGCCGCGUGCGGGAUGACGGCCUUCGGGUUGUAAACCGCUUUCAAUUGUGACGAAGCUUUUUUGUGACGGUAGCAGUAGAAGAAGCACCGGCUAACUACGUG